AGGCUGAAACUCGCCUACAUGAAGCUGGAGUUGCUAGUAGUCGCGAAUCAGCAUGUCGCGGUGAAUACGUUCCCGGGCCUUGUACACACCGCCCGUCACACCAUGAGAGUUGGCAAUACCCAACGUACGUGAUCUAACCCGCAAGGGAGGAAGCGUCCUAAGGUAGGGUCAGCGAUUGGGGUGAAGUCGUAACAAGGUACC
Molecule: ribosomal RNA, 201 nt
Filed under: uncultured bacterium
Lineage: Bacteria
Description: partial 16S ribosomal RNA
Rfam family: Bacterial small subunit ribosomal RNA
Source: RNAcentral